Long non-coding RNA from Maniola jurtina (meadow brown), 453 nucleotides. RefSeq lists it as uncharacterized. The transcript is spliced from 4 exons. Lineage: Eukaryota; Metazoa; Arthropoda; Insecta; Lepidoptera; Nymphalidae. The record is from RefSeq and is a predicted model, not a curated record.
UUGUAAUAAUUUAAUAAUUUAUCACCGCGUCAGCUUGUUGUUGUUUACUUUAGAAUUAUUAUUAUCACAGACUACAAUCUAGUAUAGAGACAAAAUUACUGUGUCAAUCUGUCAUCUGUAGGAGGUACUGAUACUUUGUGAGCUUACUAUCUAGUUUACAGACAAAGUUACUCUGUGCCACUUUGUGAUCUCUAGUUCCUGCCUACUCUGUGAGUUUAGUUUACUAUACCGAUGACGUCAUAACAUGGCGUCUAGGUAGCAUAGCUACCGUUUUCGUCAACUUGCGCGCGAAAAUUUAAAAUGCAAAAUUUAAAUGAUUUUUUUUGGUACUUAUCGAUUGAAUAAAAUUUAAAAAAAGAUUCUAGUGGUAAAUUAUCACCUUAGGAUUAAAUUGAGACACUUUUCAAAAAAGAGUAAAAUACCCUAUUAAACUCUAUAUUAUCGUGCGCGCUA